GACGAACGCUGGCGGCGUGCUUAACACAUGCAAGUCGAACGGAAAGGCCCUGCUUGCAGGGUACUCGAGUGGCGAACGGGUGAGUAACACGUGGGUGAUCUGCCCUGCACUUCGGGAUAAGCCUGGGAAACUGGGUCUAAUACCGGAUAGGAGCCAUUUUUAGUGUGAUGGUUGGAAAGUUUUUUCGGUGUAGGAUGAGCUCGCGGCCUUCAGCUUGUUGGUGGGGUAAUGGCCUACCAAGGCGGCGACGGGUAGCCGGCCUGAGAGGGUGGACGGCCACAUUGGGACUGAGAUACGGCCCAGACUCCUACGGGAGGCAGCAGUGGGGAAUAUUGCACAAUGGGCGCAAGCCUGAUGCAGCGACGCCGCGUGGGGGAUGACGGCCUUCGGGUUGUAAACUCCUUUCGCUAGGGACGAAGCUUUUUGUGACGGUACCUAGAUAAGAAGCACCGGCUAACUACGUG
RNAcentral lists this ribosomal RNA (464 nucleotides) under uncultured bacterium. RNAcentral describes it as "partial 16S ribosomal RNA". It matches the Rfam family "Bacterial small subunit ribosomal RNA", at positions 28 to 507 of the family's 1533-position model. The record is from RNAcentral.